GCCCACAUAGCUCAGUCGGUAGAGCAGCGCAUUCGUAAUGCGCAGGUCGUUGGUUCGAAUCCGACUGUGGGCU
RNAcentral lists this transfer RNA (73 nucleotides) under Deltaproteobacteria bacterium. RNAcentral's name for it is "tRNA-Thr". It matches the Rfam family "tRNA". Rfam says of the family: Transfer RNA (tRNA) molecules are approximately 80 nucleotides in length. Their secondary structure includes four short double-helical elements and three loops (D, anti-codon, and T loops). Lineage: Bacteria; Pseudomonadati; Myxococcota; Myxococcia. The record is from RNAcentral.